UCCUUCCUACGGGGCGCAGCAGUGGGGAAUAUUGGGCAAUGGGGGAAACCCUGACCCAGCGACGCCGCGUGAGGGAAGAAGGUUUUCGGAUUGUAAACCUCUGUCCUUGGUGACGAUAAUGACGGUAGCCAAGGAGGAAGCCACGGCUAACUACGUGCCAGCAGCCGCGGUAAUACGUAGGUGGCGAGCGUUGUCCGGAAUUACUGGGUGUAAAGGGAGCGUAGGCGGCCUGGCAAGCCUGAUGUGAAAUACCGGGGCCCAACCCCGGGGCUGCAUUGGGAACUGCCAGGCUGGAGUGCCGGAGG
This 305-nucleotide ribosomal RNA is filed under the name uncultured bacterium. Its description in RNAcentral is "bacterial SSU rRNA". It matches the Rfam family "Bacterial small subunit ribosomal RNA", at positions 333 to 655 of the family's 1533-position model. The record is from RNAcentral.